RNAcentral lists this ribosomal RNA (975 nucleotides) under Bacteroides uniformis. Its description in RNAcentral is "bacterial SSU rRNA". It matches the Rfam family "Bacterial small subunit ribosomal RNA", at positions 1 to 957 of the family's 1533-position model. The record is from RNAcentral. Lineage: Bacteria; Pseudomonadati; Bacteroidota; Bacteroidia; Bacteroidales; Bacteroidaceae.
UUAUCGGAGAGUUUGAUCCUGGCUCAGGACGAACGCUGGCGGCGUGCCUAAUACAUGCAAGUCGAGCGGACAGAUGGGAGCUUGCUCCCUGAUGUUAGCGGCGGACGGGUGAGUAACACGUGGGUAACCUGCCUGUAAGACUGGGAUAACUCCGGGAAACCGGGGCUAAUACCGGAUGGUUGUUUGAACCGCAUGGUUCAGACAUAAAAGGUGGCUUCGGCUACCACUUACAGAUGGACCCGCGGCGCAUUAGCUAGUUGGUGAGGUAACGGCUCACCAAGGCGACGAUGCGUAGCCGACCUGAGAGGGUGAUCGGCCACACUGGGACUGAGACACGGCCCAGACUCCUACGGGAGGCAGCAGUAGGGAAUCUUCCGCAAUGGACGAAAGUCUGACGGAGCAACGCCGCGUGAGUGAUGAAGGUUUUCGGAUCGUAAAGCUCUGUUGUUAGGGAAGAACAAGUGCCGUUCAAAUAGGGCGGCACCUUGACGGUACCUAACCAGAAAGCCACGGCUAACUACGUGCCAGCAGCCGCGGUAAUACGUAGGUGGCAAGCGUUGUCCGGAAUUAUUGGGCGUAAAGGGCUCGCAGGCGGUUUCUUAAGUCUGAUGUGAAAGCCCCCGGCUCAACCGGGGAGGGUCAUUGGAAACUGGGGAACUUGAGUGCAGAAGAGGAGAGUGGAAUUCCACGUGUAGCGGUGAAAUGCGUAGAGAUGUGGAGGAACACCAGUGGCGAAGGCGACUCUCUGGUCUGUAACUGACGCUGAGGAGCGAAAGCGUGGGGAGCGAACAGGAUUAGAUACCCUGGUAGUCCACGCCGUAAACGAUGAGUGCUAAGUGUUAGGGGGUUUCCGCCCCUUAGUGCUGCAGCUAACGCAUUAAGCACUCCGCCUGGGGAGUACGGUCGCAAGACUGAAACUCAAAGGAAUUGACGGGGGCCCGCACAAGCGGUGGAGCAUGUGGUUUAAUUCGAAGC